This 731-nucleotide long non-coding RNA is filed under the name Helianthus annuus (common sunflower). RNAcentral describes it as "hypothetical non coding rna". The record is from RNAcentral. Lineage: Eukaryota; Viridiplantae; Streptophyta; Magnoliopsida; Asterales; Asteraceae.
AUGGUCAUGUUAAUGGUAGGAGCUUGGAAAUGAACGGGUCAAAUGGAUACAAGUUCAAGUAUGAAGCUCGCAAGGAUGCAAGGUAAGUAUAACUUACACUAGUCAUAUAUUUUAGAAUGUUCUUUUGUCGUAUUGACUACGAAUAAGACAAAUGGUAAUUUAGUCACACGUUGACAAUAAUCGUUAGUUUUAAAAGACGCUUUCCCGCGUAAGACAUAAAGAGCCGAAAGUGGUAAUAAACGGUUUAUAAAUAAAAUGAGCAUACGGUGUUAAAAGGAACGAGUCAUGUAGAUGAGAUGAUAAUAAAUAUUAUCUCGCAAAGAUAAACGGUCAAUUCGGCCAAGGGGGUCAAAAGGUGUAGACAUCACCUUUUGACAAUAUCGACUAAUGAUUCUGGUGUCGAGUUAUAUGUUUACAGGAGUAGAUAUCCAAUGGAUACUCGCAUCGCUCUUAAUUAGCAAUUAUAAAGCAAGGUAUUAAACCGGGUUAGUAAGUUGAUCCGAGCCAGGUACAUUUUGAAUGCCGGAAGACGAUUAAGCUCAUUGGAGAACCGAAUACGAUAAAGAUACAUGCUUCCGCACAGUGUCCCGUCGUAAAUUUUAAACGACGAAUUCAAUUACGUUAUGUCGAAUAACUUAUGAUUUGUAAAAGUUUUAAUAAACCCAUAUUUUUAUAGUAUGUGUAGUCUUAUCUACACAACUAAUUGUUGGUAAUUAUAUGUAAAACCGUUA